RNAcentral lists this ribosomal RNA (492 nucleotides) under uncultured bacterium. Its description in RNAcentral is "partial 16S ribosomal RNA". It matches the Rfam family "Bacterial small subunit ribosomal RNA", at positions 29 to 507 of the family's 1533-position model. The record is from RNAcentral.
AGUGAACGCUGGCGGUAGGCCUAACACAUGCAAGUCGAACGGCAGCACAGUAAGAGCUUGCUCUUACGGGUGGCGAGUGGCGGACGGGUGAGGAAUACAUCGGAAUCUACUUUUUCGUGGGGGAUAACGUAGGGAAACUUACGCUAAUACCGCAUACGACCUACGGGUGAAAGUAGGGGAUCUUCGGACCUUGCGCGAUUGAAUGAGCCGAUGUCGGAUUAGCUAGUUGGCGGGGUAAAGGCCCACCAAGGCGACGAUCCGUAGCUGGUCUGAGAGGAUGAUCAGCCACACUGGAACUGAGACACGGUCCAGACUCCUACGGGAGGCAGCAGUGGGGAAUAUUGGACAAUGGGCGCAGGCCUGAUCCAGCCAUACCGCGUGGGUGAAGAAGGCCUUCGGGUUGUAAAGCCCUUUUGUUGGGAAAGAAAAGCAGCAGGUUAAUACCCCGCUGUUCUGACGGUACCCAAAGAAUAAGCACCGGCUAACUUCGUG